This 656-nucleotide ribosomal RNA is filed under the name Bacillus sp. CH88. Its description in RNAcentral is "bacterial SSU rRNA". It matches the Rfam family "Bacterial small subunit ribosomal RNA", at positions 51 to 691 of the family's 1533-position model. Lineage: Bacteria; Bacillati; Bacillota; Bacilli; Caryophanales; Bacillaceae. The record is from RNAcentral.
AUACAUGCAGUCGAGCGGACUUUUAAAGCUUGCUUUUGAAAGGUCAGCGGCGGACGGGUGAGUAACACGUGGGCAACCUGCCUGUAAGACUGGGAUAACUUCGGGAAACCGGAGCUAAUACCGGAUAAUAUAAGGAACCUCCUGGUUCUUUAUUGAAAGAUGGUUUCGGCUAUCACUUACAGAUGGGCCCGCGGCGCAUUAGCUAGUUGGUGAGGUAACGGCUCACCAAGGCGACGAUGCGUAGCCGACCUGAGAGGGUGAUCGGCCACACUGGGACUGAGACACGGCCCAGACUCCUACGGGAGGCAGCAGUAGGGAAUCUUCCACAAUGGACGAAAGUCUGAUGGAGCAACGCCGCGUGAGCGAUGAAGGCCUUCGGGUCGUAAAGCUCUGUUGUUAGGGAAGAACAAGUGCGAGAGUAACUGCUCGCACCUUGACGGUACCUAACCAGAAAGCCACGGCUAACUACGUGCCAGCAGCCGCGGUAAUACGUAGGUGGCAAGCGUUGUCCGGAAUUAUUGGGCGUAAAGCGCGCGCAGGUGGUCCUUUAAGUCUGAUGUGAAAGCCCACGGCUCAACCGUGGAGGGUCAUUGGAAACUGGGGGACUUGAGUGCAGAAGAGGAAAGUGGAAUUCCAAGUGUAGCGGUGAAAUGCGU